Molecule: ribosomal RNA, 427 nt
Filed under: uncultured bacterium
Lineage: Bacteria
Description: partial 16S ribosomal RNA
Rfam family: Bacterial small subunit ribosomal RNA
Source: RNAcentral
UGGGGAAUAUUGCACAAUGGGCGCAAGCCUGAUGCAGCCAUGCCGCGUGUAUGAAGAAGGCCUUCGGGUUGUAAAGUACUUUCAGCGAGGAGGAAGGCGUUGUGGUUAAUAACCGCAACGAUUGACGUUACUCGCAGAAGAAGCACCGGCUAACUCCGUGCCAGCAGCCGCGGUAAUACGGAGGGUGCAAGCGUUAAUCGGAAUUACUGGGCGUAAAGCGCACGCAGGCGGUCUGUCAAGUCGGAUGUGAAAUCCCCGGGCUCAACCUGGGGACUGCAUCCGAAACUGGCAGGCUAGAGUCUUGUAGAGGGGGGUAGAAUUCCAGGUGUAGCGGUGAAAUGCGUAGAGAUCUGGAGGAAUACCGGUGGCGAAGGCGGCCCCCUGGACAAAGACUGACGCUCAGGUGCGAAAGCGUGGGGAGCAAACA